GAUGAAGAACGUAGCGAAAUGCGAUACGUAAUGUGAAUUGCAGAAUUCAGUGAAUCAUCGAGUCUUUGAACGCACAUUGCGCCCAUUAGUAUUCUAGUGGGCAUGCCUGUUCGAGCGUCAUUAAGUCCACUUAAGCCCUGCUUAGUGUUGGGAGACUGCUCCAGCGGUGCUACCCUGUAGCUACCCUGCAGCUCCUCAAAGACAGCGGCGGAGUUGUGGUAUCCUCUGAGCUUAGUAACUUGUUCUAGCUUUCGAGUACACCACUUCCCCUGCCGUAAAACCCUUAAUUUUUAAUGGUUGACCUCGGAUCAGGUAGGAAUACCCGCUGAACUUAAGCAUAUCAAUAAGCGGAGGA
This 355-nucleotide unclassified non-coding RNA is filed under the name soil metagenome. RNAcentral describes it as "partial contains 5.8S ribosomal RNA, internal transcribed spacer 2, and large subunit ribosomal RNA". The stretch from base 1 to 120 matches the Rfam family "5.8S ribosomal RNA", at positions 35 to 154 of the family's 154-position model. The record is from RNAcentral.